CAGUAGCCGCGGGAAUACGGAGGGGGCUAGCGUUGUUCGGAAUUACUGGGCGUAAAGCGCACGUAGGCGGCUUGGUAAGUUAGAGGUGAAAGCCUGGAGCUCAACUCCAGAAUUGCCUUUAAGACUGCCGAGCUAGCAGGUGAGAGGGGUAAGUGGAAUUCCGAGUGUAGAGGUGAAAUUCGUAGAUAUUCGGAAGAACACCAGUGGCGAAGGCGGCUUACUGGCUCAUACUGGACGCUGAGGUGCGAAAGCGUGGGGAGCAAACAGGAUUAGAUACCCCCGUAGUCCCUGUCUCUUAUAC
Molecule: ribosomal RNA, 301 nt
Filed under: uncultured bacterium
Lineage: Bacteria
Description: partial 16S ribosomal RNA
Rfam family: Bacterial small subunit ribosomal RNA
Source: RNAcentral